CGCGCCUGCUAGGGGUGCCGCGACAACGAAGUCGCCGCGGCUGAGAAAGUCCCUUCGAACCUGAUUGAGGUAAUCCUCGCGCAGGGAAGCAUGAGCACAGCGAC
This 104-nucleotide non-coding RNA is filed under the name Hydrogenophaga sp. Its description in RNAcentral is "TPP sequence". It matches the Rfam family "TPP riboswitch aptamer (THI element)". Rfam says of the family: Vitamin B(1) in its active form thiamin pyrophosphate (TPP) is an essential coenzyme that is synthesised by coupling of pyrimidine and thiazole moieties in bacteria. The previously detected thiamin-regulatory element, thi box was extended, resulting in a new, highly conserved RNA secondary structure, the THI element, which is widely distributed in eubacteria and also occurs in some archaea. Lineage: Bacteria; Pseudomonadati; Pseudomonadota; Betaproteobacteria; Burkholderiales; Comamonadaceae. The record is from RNAcentral.